GUUAAGAGACAAAGCGUACAAGGUGGAUGCCUUGGCAAUCAGAGGCGAAGAAGGACGUGCUAAUCUGCGAAAAGCUCGGAUGAGUCGAUAAGAGGCGUUUAAUCCGAGAUAUCCGAAUGGGGAAACCCAGUGGGUGAAGAACCCACUAUCAUUACCUGAAUCCAUAGGGUAAUGAGGCGAACCGGGAGAACUGAAACAUCUAAGUACCCCGAGGAAAAGAAAUCAACCGAGAUUUUGUGAGUAGCGGCGAGCGAAAGCGAAAGAGCCUGUUAGUGAUAGCGACAGAGACAGAGGAAUGUGCUGGGAAGCACAGCGAGACAGGGUGAUAGCCCCGUACUCGAAGUCUGGGUCGUGGUACUAAGCUAACGAGAAGUAGGGCGGGACACGUGAUAUCCUGUUUGAAGAAGGGGGGCCCAUCCUCCAAGGCUAAAUACUCCUGAUUGACCGAUAGUGAACCAGUACUGUGAAGGAAAGGCGAAAAGAACCGGGGUGACCGGAGUGAAAUAGAACCUGAAGCCUUGUACGUACAAGCAGUGGGAGCCCGAAAGGGUGACUGCGUACCUUUUGUAUAAUGGGUCAGCGAGUUAUAUUUUGUAGCGAGGUUAACCGAAUAGGGGAGCCGAAGGGAAACCGAGUCUUAACUGGGCGAAUAGUUGCAAGGUAUAGACCCGAAACCCGGUGAUCUAGCCAUGGGCAGGUUGAAGGUUGGGUAACACUAACUGGAGGACCGAACCGACUAAUGUUGAAAAAUUAGCGGAUGACUUGUGGCUGGGGGUGAAAGGCCAAUCAAACCGGGAGAUAGCUGGUUCUCCCCGAAAUCUAUUUAGGUAGAGCCUUGAGCGGACACCUUUGGGGGUAGAGCACUGUUUCGGCUAGGGGGCCAUCCCGGCUUACCAACCCGAUGCAAACUACGAAUACCGAAGAGUGAUACUCAGGAGACACACGGCGGGUGCUAACGUCCGUCGUGGAGAGGGAAACAACCCAGACCGCCGGCUAAGGUCCCAAAGUACUAAUUAAGUGGGAAACGAAGUGGGAAGGCUUAGACAGCUAGGAUGUUGGCUUAGAAGCAGCCAUCAUUUAAAGAAAGCGUAAUAGCUCACUAGUCGAGUCGGCCUGCGCGGAAGAUGUAACGGGGCUAAAAUUAGUCACCGAAGCUGCGGCAUCAGGCGUAUCACUUGAGGAAUAUUAGUGAUACGCCUGUUGGGUAGGGGAGCGUUGUGUAAGCGGAAGAAGGUGUAUUGAGAGGUAUGCUGGACGUAUCACAAGUGCGAAUGCUGACAUAAGUAACGAUAAAACGGGUGAAAAACCCGUUCGCCGGAAGACCAAGGGUUCCUGUCCAACGUUAAUCGGGGCAGGGUGAGUCGGCCCCUAAGGCGAGGCUGAAAAGCGUAGUCGAUGGGAAACGGGUUAAUAUUCCCGUACUUGGUAAAGCUGCGAUGUGGGGACGGAGCAGGUUAGGUUAGCGUGCUGUUGGAUAUGCACGUUUAAGUUGGUAGGUGGGGAGCUUAGGCAAAUCCGGGCUCCUAUAAACACUGAGAGAUGAUGACGAGGCCUUAAGGGGCUGAAGUAACUGAUACCAUACUUCCAGGAAAAGCCACUAAGCGAAAGGCUUUACUAAACCGUACUGAAAACCGACACAGGUGGUCAGGUAGAGAAUACUCAGGCGCUUGAGAGAACUCGGGUGAAGGAACUAGGCAAAAUAGCACCGUAACUUCGGGAGAAGGUGCGCCGGCGUAGAUUGUAAGGGCUUGCCCCUGAAGGUUGAACCGGUCGAAGAUACCAGCUGGCUGCAACUGUUUAUUAAAAACACAGCACUCUGCAAACACGAAAGUGGAGGUAUAGGGUGUGAUGCCUGCCCGGUGCCGGAAGGUUAAUUGAUGGUGUAAUCGCAAGAGAAGCAUCUGAUCGAAGCCCCGGUAAACGGCGGCCGUAACUAUAACGGUCCUAAGGUAGCGAAAUUCCUUGUCGGGUAAGUUCCGACCUGCACGAAUGGCAUAAUGAUGGCCAGGCUGUCUCCACCCGAGACUCAGUGAAAUUGAAAUCGCCGUGAAGAUGCGGUGUACCCGCGGCUAGACGGAAAGACCCCGUGAACCUUUACUAUAGCUUGACACUGAACAUUGAAUUUUGAUGUGUAGGAUAGGUGGGAGACUAUGAAGUAGUGACGCCAGUCAUUAUGGAGUCGACGUUGAAAUACCACCCUUUAACGUUUGAUGUUCUAACGAGACAUCGAUUACAGGUGUUCGGACAGUGUCUGGUGGGUAGUUUGACUGGGGCGGUCUCCUCCCAAAGGAUAACGGAGGAGCACGAAGGUUUGCUAAUCACGGUCGGACAUCGUGAGGUUAGUGCAAUGGUAUAAGCAAGCUUAACUGCGAGACGGACAGGUCGGGCAGGUACGAAAGUAGGUCAUAGUGAUCCGGUGGUUCUGCAUGGAAGGGCCAUCGCUCAACGGAUAAAAGGUACUCCGGGGAUAACAGGCUGAUACCGCCCAAGAGUUCAUAUCGACGGCGGUGUUUGGCACCUCGAUGUCGGCUCAUCACAUCCUGGGGCUGAAGUAGGUCCCAAGGGUAUGGCUGUUCGCCAUUUAANNNGNACGCGAGCUGGGUUUAGAACGUCGUGNGACANUCGUCCCUAUCUGCCGUGGGCGUAGAAGAAUUGNUGGGCUGCUCUAGUACGAGAGGACCCGGAGUGGACGCACCGCUGGUGUUCCGGUUGUGUCGCCAGACGCAUAGCCGGGUAGCUAAGUGCGGGAGAGAUAAGUGCUGAAAGCAUCUAAGCACGAAACUUGCCAAGAGAUGAGUUCUCCCAGACUUUAGGUCUGUAAGGGUUGUUUAAGACGAAGACGUAGAUAGGCGUGGUGUGUAAGCGUAGUGAUAUGUUGAGCUAACACGUACUAAUUGCCCGAGGGACUUAGCCAU
RNAcentral lists this ribosomal RNA (2915 nucleotides) under Aggregatibacter actinomycetemcomitans. RNAcentral describes it as "23S ribosomal RNA". It matches the Rfam family "Bacterial large subunit ribosomal RNA". Lineage: Bacteria; Pseudomonadati; Pseudomonadota; Gammaproteobacteria; Pasteurellales; Pasteurellaceae. The record is from RNAcentral.